Schistosoma mansoni is the source of this 45-nucleotide non-coding RNA. The record is from Rfam. NCBI's taxonomy places the organism in Eukaryota, Metazoa, Platyhelminthes, Trematoda, Strigeidida, Schistosomatidae.
AUCCAUCUGACAAGUUCCAAAUAGGACGAAACGCGCGUCCUGGAU